UGGGGAAUAUUGGACAAUGGGGGGAACCCUGAUCCAGCCAUGCCGCGUGUGUGAAGAAGGCCUUUUGGUUGUAAAGCACUUUAAGCGAGGAGGAGGCUACCGAGAUUAAUACUCUUGGAUAGUGGACGUUACUCGCAGAAUAAGCACCGGCUAACUCUGUGCCAGCAGCCGCGGUAAUACAGAGGGUGCAAGCGUUAAUCGGAUUUACUGGGCGUAAAGCGCGCGUAGGUGGCCAAUUAAGUCAAAUGUGAAAUCCCCGAGCUUAACUUGGGAAUUGCAUUCGAUACUGGUUGGCUAGAGUAUGGGAGAGGAUGGUAGAAUUCCAGGUGUAGCGGUGAAAUGCGUAGAGAUCUGGAGGAAUACCGAUGGCGAAGGCAGCCAUCUGGCCUAAUACUGACACUGAGGUGCGAAAGCAUGGGGAGCAAACAGGAUUAGAUACCCCCGUAGUCC
This 450-nucleotide ribosomal RNA is filed under the name uncultured prokaryote. Its description in RNAcentral is "bacterial SSU rRNA". It matches the Rfam family "Bacterial small subunit ribosomal RNA", at positions 355 to 796 of the family's 1533-position model. The record is from RNAcentral.